UAAACUUCAUGUUUGAAUAAUGAAUAAAGGAUAAAGAUGGGAACCUAAUCUGUUCCUGCUUUCACUGAGAAAGCAACACCUCUCUGGCAAGAUUUCACUGUGUUUGUCAAAGCUGAAACUGCUAUUUUGAUACUUUUGAAAGUAUUUCUUCUAACCAUCUUACCUAAUGGUUCAAAGGUGAUUAUUUCAAGCUCAGUGACAUCUCCUUUGUGAAUUUUGGCAUUUUUGGUGAAGAAAAUCAGCUUUAUUCUGACAUAUAGUAGGACAAUCAUAUGUAAUGGAUAAUAUGGACUUUAGUCAAAGAAUUUGUACUUGUUCCUUUCAAAACUAUUUAGUAUUCUAAAUCAGACAGCUGCAGUCAUGCUUUUAAAUCUUCCAUCUGAUUUAGGAGAAUGGAGAGUCCCAGCUUGACUAUU
This 416-nucleotide long non-coding RNA is filed under the name Bos taurus (domestic cattle). RNAcentral's name for it is "long non-coding RNA NONBTAT021713". Lineage: Eukaryota; Metazoa; Chordata; Mammalia; Artiodactyla; Bovidae. The record is from RNAcentral.